RNAcentral lists this long non-coding RNA (705 nucleotides) under Homo sapiens (human). RNAcentral describes it as "long non-coding RNA NONHSAT185602.1". Lineage: Eukaryota; Metazoa; Chordata; Mammalia; Primates; Hominidae. The record is from RNAcentral.
UGGGUAGUGUGGUCAAAGAUGACUUCUGCAGAUAAAAACAUCAUCUUGUAUGCAAGAGAUACGACCCUCUUUUAUAUAGUUGAACUGCAAAGACUACCUUACUGUUCACUCCCAGAAUGGCAAAAAGAUAGAUGAAGAUGGAGAAAUGUGCACCUAACACUGCAUCUUUAUGAGGGCGUGGUGAAAACCUCUGCUACCAUACUGGAUACAAGGUCUUUAACUUCUCAGCACCAGUUUUAUGGAGCCCCCACCGCUAAGCAAGUAUGCAAAAUGCAGUGCUGCUUCGCAUUGGGAAAUCCCCAAUCUGGUGCCAAGAGGUUCAUAAAUACAGUAAUGGACCCUCUUAUGUCAAAAGUGAGUACUGUUUAACAGCGUAAGUUGGAACAGCCUUCAGGAUGCUUUGCAGCUGCAGUUGUUCCACUGCAAGACAUCACAAACUUCAUGAUGAUGGUUGUCACACCAGGUCCUGGAAAGGCAACCUACUUCAGUCUGCAAAGUGAACUAAAAGGGAAUGGUUGUUCAUACAUGGCCCUGAUGCCACUGACAUAAGAAACGCAAUGACAAGAGCGAUGAAGUAGGAAUUUGGUGGCAGAUGGUCAGGUCUGCAGGAAGUGUCCACCCAGCUUUGUUUGGCCCAUAUUCUGAAACAACUAGAAUAAACACUUAGUGUCAUAAUUUAUAAGCAUAUCAGUACCAAUAAAUCAG